CUCUCGGCAACGGAUAUCUCGGCUCUCGCAUCGAUGAAGAACGUAGCGAAAUGCGAUACUUGGUGUGAAUUGCAGAAUCCCGUGAACCAUCGAGUCUUUGAACGCAAGUUGCGCCCGAAGCCUUCCGGCCGAGGGCACGUCUGCCUGGGUGUCACGCAACGUC
This 163-nucleotide ribosomal RNA is filed under the name Lachesiodendron viridiflorum. Its description in RNAcentral is "Piptadenia viridiflora 5.8S ribosomal RNA". It matches the Rfam family "5.8S ribosomal RNA". Rfam says of the family: 5.8S ribosomal RNA (5.8S rRNA) is a component of the large subunit of the eukaryotic ribosome. It is transcribed by RNA polymerase I as part of the 45S precursor that also contains 18S and 28S rRNA. Lineage: Eukaryota; Viridiplantae; Streptophyta; Magnoliopsida; Fabales; Fabaceae. The record is from RNAcentral.